GGGCUCACACAAGCGGUGGAGGAUGUGGCUUAAUUCGAGGCUACGCGAAGAACCUUACCUAGACUUAACAUGCUUAGGAACUCCUGUGAAAGCAGGAGGUGCCCUUCGGGGAGCCUUUGCAUAGGUGCUGCAUGGCUGUCGUCAGCUCGUGUCGUGAGAUGUCGGGUUAAGUCCCUUAACGAGCGAAACCCUUAUCUCUAGUUGCCAGCGGGUAGUGCCGGGGACUCUAGAGAGACUGCCGGUGUUAAACCGGAGGAAGGUGGGGAUGACGUCAAGUCCUCAUGGCCUUUAUGUCUAGGGCUGCACACGUCCUACAAUGCGGCGGAUAAAGGGAUGCGAACUCGCGAGAGCAAGCAAAUCCCAUAAACCGUGGCUCAGUUCAGAUCGUAGGCUGCAACUCGCCUACGUGAAGGCGGAAUCGCUAGUAAUCGC
RNAcentral lists this ribosomal RNA (432 nucleotides) under uncultured bacterium. RNAcentral describes it as "bacterial SSU rRNA". It matches the Rfam family "Bacterial small subunit ribosomal RNA", at positions 917 to 1345 of the family's 1533-position model. The record is from RNAcentral.